This is a long non-coding RNA of Poecilia latipinna (sailfin molly), 1182 nucleotides long. RefSeq lists it as uncharacterized. The transcript is spliced from 3 exons. Lineage: Eukaryota; Metazoa; Chordata; Actinopteri; Cyprinodontiformes; Poeciliidae. The record is from RefSeq and is a predicted model, not a curated record.
CACAGAGCGCCGGCCGAUGACGCAGCCGAGCUACAGUCGACUGAAGCUAACAAACAAAACACAAAAUGUCCAGGAUGUUGAGGUUGACUACAGAAAGUCUGGGUUCAGAAAAACUGCCUCAAAAUGUUCAUGUGCUGUUAAACUCUAGACAUGAAACAAACUAACGUGAUCAGCUUAUGAUCUACUCGCUAACACCAGUAGCAGGAGCUAACGCCGUUAGCAGGAGUUAGCAUCAGUUAUCAUCAGUAGCUAACUAAAUCAAAACAAAUUGAAAGCGUGAGGAUGAAAUGAAAGCAGCCGGUGGAGGUAUUGACCUGAGGAGCCUCUCUACUGCCGACAGUUACAGAGCUGAGCCUGAAUGAAUAACGACAUAUUGAUCAGAACUGAAGGCGACUUUCUGCCUGGAGGCCAAAACCAGAAUCUGGAUGUUUGGAGUUUCCACCAGGAGCAGCGGGAAGGCGGCGGGUCGGCCGACUGUCUAGACAGACUGCGCUGGUUCCACUUCCACAAAUAGAAAAUGACCUGGAAUAUCUGCCCAGACCACACACACACACACACACACACACACACACAUCCAGGAUUCCCUCUCCUUCACCAAACUGUCUGCAGCAACACUCAGGUUUCAGCCUCAGUGCAGACAUUAUGCUGAUAUAAUGGCUUUAUGGAUGAGUUCUUUAAAAUACAAAACUAAAGUUAUAAAUUAAACCGAGGAGAUCCAGGCAGAUUCUCACAUUACUGCUUCACUUGAAAAACUCAAGAAACCCGAGAAAAAUCAGGUGGUGAUGAAAUAUUUAAGCCAGAAGUGUGUUUCUCAAAGGAUUCCUGCUGCUGCAAGAUUUAUUCCUCCCAUAAAUAAAAGAAGUUCACAAGCGAAAGGUCUCACUUCUUCAGAAAGAGGCGAGUUACUUAAAAAAAACCUGUCUGGUAAACAUUCAAACCUGAUUCGAGCAGUUUUAGGAAUUCCUAUUAAUACUUUAUAAAAUCACCAGGAAAAAUAAAUGAAGUCAGAAAGCAGCAGCAGGAAAAGACAAAUCAGAUCCAGCCUGGUGGUUCUGAUCGGGGAGCGUUCUUCUUCAUGGGUUUUUCUCAGUCAGAUGUUCAUUUUGUUGUUUGGUUAUGUUUGUUUUAAAGUUUUGUUUGUUUUAAUUUUCGCUGAAUGGAAUAAAAAUCCAGUCAGAAGCA